This 459-nucleotide ribosomal RNA is filed under the name uncultured bacterium. RNAcentral's name for it is "partial 16S ribosomal RNA". It matches the Rfam family "Bacterial small subunit ribosomal RNA", at positions 338 to 795 of the family's 1533-position model. The record is from RNAcentral.
CCUACGGGCUGCAGCAGUGAGGAAUAUUGGUCAAUGGUCGGGAGACUGAACCAGCCAAGCCGCGUGAGGGAGGAAGGUACAGAGUAUCGUAAACCUCUUUUGUCAGGGAACAAAGGCGGGGACGUGUCCCCGGAUGAGUGUACCUGAAGAAAAAGCAUCGGCUAACUCCGUGCCAGCAGCCGCGGUAAUACGGAGGAUGCGAGCGUUAUCCGGAUUUAUGGGGUUAAAAGGGUGCGCAGGCGGUCUGUUAAGUCAGCGGUCAAAGCCCGGGGCUCAACCCCGGCCCGCCGUUGAAACUGGCAGUCUCGAGUUGGAGAGAAGUAUGCGGAAUGCGCGGUGUAGCGGUGAAAUGCAUAGAUAUCGCGCAGAACUCCGAUUGCGAAGGCAGCAUGCCGGCUCCACACUGACGCUGAGGCACGAAAGCGUGGGUAUCGAACAGGAUUAGAUACCCUAGUAGUC